RNAcentral lists this ribosomal RNA (251 nucleotides) under uncultured bacterium. Its description in RNAcentral is "partial 16S ribosomal RNA". It matches the Rfam family "Bacterial small subunit ribosomal RNA", at positions 524 to 776 of the family's 1533-position model. The record is from RNAcentral.
UACAGAGGGUGCGAGCGUUAAUCGGAAUUACUGGGCGUAAAGCGCGCGUAGGCGGCUUUGCAAGUCGGGUGUGAAAUCCCCAGGCUUAACCUGGGAACUGCAUUCGAGACUGCAUUGCUAGUAUGGGAGAGGGAAGUGGAAUUUCCGGUGUAGCGGUGAAAUGCGUAGAUAUCGGAAGGAACAUCAGUGGCGAAAGCGACUUCCUGGACCAAUACUGACGCUCAUGUGCGAAAGCGUGGGGAGCAAACAGG